Molecule: ribosomal RNA, 253 nt
Filed under: uncultured bacterium
Lineage: Bacteria
Description: partial 16S ribosomal RNA
Rfam family: Bacterial small subunit ribosomal RNA
Source: RNAcentral
UACAGAGGGUGCGAGCGUUAAUCGGAAUUACUGGGCGUAAAGCGUGCGUAGACGGCUAUCUAAGUCGGGUGUGAAAGCCCCGGGCUCAACCUGGGAAUUGCAUUCGAGACUGAAUAGCUAGGGUACGGUAGAGGGAAGCGGAAUUUCCGGUGUAGCGGUGAAAUGCGUAGAUAUGCGGAGGAACACCGAUGGCGAAGGCAAUCCCCUGGGCCUGCACUGACGCUCAUGCACGAAAGCGUGGGGAGCAAACAGG